GCGCCCGUAGCUCAAUCGGACAGAGCGUCGGAUUUCUAAUCCGAUGGUUGCAGGUUCGAGUCCUGCCGGGCGCGCCA
This 77-nucleotide transfer RNA is filed under the name Acidobacteriota bacterium. Its description in RNAcentral is "Acidobacteria bacterium (sediment metagenome) tRNA-Arg". It matches the Rfam family "tRNA". From Rfam's summary of the family: Transfer RNA (tRNA) molecules are approximately 80 nucleotides in length. Their secondary structure includes four short double-helical elements and three loops (D, anti-codon, and T loops). Further hydrogen bonds mediate the characteristic L-shaped molecular structure. tRNAs have two regions of fundamental functional importance: the anti-codon, which is responsible for specific mRNA codon recognition, and the 3' end, to which the tRNAs corresponding amino acid is attached (by aminoacyl-tRNA synthetases). tRNAs cope with the degeneracy of the genetic code in two manners: having more than one tRNA (with a specific anti-codon) for a particular amino acid; and 'wobble' base-pairing, i.e. permitting non-standard base-pairing at the 3rd anti-codon position. Lineage: Bacteria; Pseudomonadati; Acidobacteriota. The record is from RNAcentral.